UUGAGAGAAAUUCAAUGAUACUUUGAUAGAAAUCAUUGUAUAUCUCACUAUCAGAUAAAAUUGAAUUUAUGAGGUUACAUAACAAACGGAUUAGAUCUGAAAUAAGCAAUUGGACUUAUGAAGUCUCAAUUGGGUUUAAAGAAAUUUUAUUGGGUUCAGAGUAAUCUUGCUAGUACAUGAUUGAAUCCAAUUUUUUCUCUGCACUUGAAUUACUUAUUUGAUAAAAGUAAUUCAAGUUUAAUUAUCUGUUUAUAAUCUUAAUGAAUUAGAUUCGUUGGGCUCCAAUUAUUGGGUGCUUAGGGUUUUGGAUCGUAUGGAUUAAGGGAUCAAAUCCUUAAUCAAUUUUCUUAAUUAUUUAGAUGGGGCACCACUUGAUUUAAUCAAGUUGGAUGUGUCCCUUAAAAGCAGACGUGUGGGGCU
RNAcentral lists this long non-coding RNA (420 nucleotides) under Elaeis guineensis (African oil palm). RNAcentral's name for it is "long non-coding RNA (EGUI_LNC026115)". The record is from RNAcentral. Lineage: Eukaryota; Viridiplantae; Streptophyta; Magnoliopsida; Arecales; Arecaceae.